This 215-nucleotide unclassified non-coding RNA is filed under the name Hevea brasiliensis (rubber tree). The record is from RNAcentral. Lineage: Eukaryota; Viridiplantae; Streptophyta; Magnoliopsida; Malpighiales; Euphorbiaceae.
UGGUUUUUUUCACAGAUUGUAUGAAACUGGGGGAAAAAAUUAAAAAAGGUAUUAAAAAUCUCAAAUUUUUACAUGGGCAUACUAAAGAUUGUGUUUUUUUUAGAUUUACAAGUAAAAAUUUCUGUGGGGUUGCAAUAAUUUACAAGAAUAUGUGAUAAAUUUAGGAGUUCUUUUUCCAGAUUGAAUGAAACUGGGAAAAAAAAACUAAUCAAGAA